AAGGAUCAUUAUUGAAUGAACUUGGUGUGGUUGUUGCUGGCCCUCUUGGGGGCAUGUGCACACCCACCAUCCUCAUCUCCCCACCUGUGCACCUCUUGUAGACCUGGAUUGACUUUCCGAGGCAACUCGGUCGGGAAGAUUGCUGUGCUCUGUGUGGCCAGCUUUCUUUGCAUGUCCAGGCCUAUGUUUUUCAUAUACCCCUAUAGAAUGUAACAGAAUGUAUCAUUGGGCUUUGUGCCUAUAAACCUUAUACAACUUUCAGCAACGGAUCUCUUGGCUCUCGCAUCGAUGAAGAACGCAGCGAAAUGCGAUAAGUAAUGUGAAUUGCAGAAUUCAGUGAAUCAUCGAAUCUUUGAACGCACCUUGCGCUCCUUGGUAUUCCGAGGAGCAUGCCUGUUUGAGUGUCAUUAAAUUCUCAACCUUAUUAACCUUUGUUGAUAAUGGAUUGGAUUGUGGGGGUUUCUUUUGCUGGUUUCUUCAGAGAUCAGCUCCCCUUAAAUGCAUUAGCUGGUGCCCCGCGUGGACCAUCUAUUGGUGUGAUAAUUAUCUACGCCGUGGAUGUCUGCAAUCAUAUGGGUUUUGCACUGCUUCUAACCGUCUGUUUGACAAUACAUGACAAUUUGACCUCAAAUCAGGUAGGACUACCCGCUGAACUUAAGCAUAUCAAUAAGCGGAGGA
RNAcentral lists this small RNA (678 nucleotides) under uncultured fungus. RNAcentral's name for it is "eukaryotic LSU rRNA". The stretch from base 254 to 407 matches the Rfam family "5.8S ribosomal RNA". The record is from RNAcentral. Lineage: Eukaryota; Fungi.